AGAGUUCAGUGGCAGUUCUGAAAGGAGGAGAGGAAGUGGCUUACUCUGGGUAAAAGACUCCCUACUUCCUCAAGACUAAAGAGGCCUCCUCCUGGAUUUCCCGGAGCUUAGGGACGUGGUGUGAAGACAAAACAAGAGUGCUGUUGUGGGCUCUGCUCUCCCGGCCUGCAGGCUCCACACGUCACAGCUGCUGGAUAUUCGGUUCUUGCGCUCAAGCCCCGCCCCUAAGGGCCUUGCCCUUCGUUCUGGCUUUUACAUGAUCCGCAUCGAGGAGCCUUUUACAGAAGUGGCUCCAGGAGCAUCCACAUCUGCCUCUCGGGGCCCACGGGGCCCAGGCCAGCUACAGAAGCACCCUGCUUUCCAUGGGAAAAUGCUGCAAAUGGGGGAGAAAGGAGAGAAGGGUUUCAGACUGCAAAGACCCUUCGACAUCAGCUAGCACCAAGUUCCAUCAUGUAAAUAAACUGAAGGGCUUCAGACCGGGAGUGAAGCCAAGCAGACCUCCCCACUGUCACUGUCCAGCCUGAAGCCGCCCUGGUGAAGCAGGUGGAGGAGCAGCUCCAGGCCCGGCUCCCCGGCCUCCCUCCCUCAGCUCCAGGGCACUCACGUGCUUGAAACAGCUGACGGGAGCAGCCUUGUAACUGUGAUCCUUCAGGAACUUCCCCCAGUCGAAGCCCAAGACCAGAGCUGCAGAGCAGAGAGGACGAGUCAGACUAGGAGCCUGCGCAGCAGCCACUCCAGGAGCCUGGACCCCAAGGGCCCUGUGGGACCUGCAGAGGGGACACUCUGAAGGCACCUGGCUCAGAACCACUGCCAUCCAAGGAGCGAGGAGUCCCAGGGCUGAGCAAAUGCAGCGGGGAGGUCGGCAGUUCCCCUGCUUCCCGAUCCUCAUUUUCUGCUUCACUUGACUCCUCCAGAUAGGAGCUGCUCUCACUGCCCACACUGCUGUUAUAACUCCGGAAACUAUCAUAGCCACCAAACAGCUCCAAGUCGUCAUCUUCCUCUUCCUCCAUUGGUUCUGAAGAUGGGGUCUCCUAAUGGAGGAUGA
This 1045-nucleotide long non-coding RNA is filed under the name Homo sapiens (human). Its description in RNAcentral is "HSALNT0406171". The record is from RNAcentral. Lineage: Eukaryota; Metazoa; Chordata; Mammalia; Primates; Hominidae.